UUAUAGGGCAAUGCACUAUCUUCGUUUAAAAGUGCGAAACAAGGCAAGAGGGGAGGGUUCAAUCGUUGAAGCUUGUAUUGUGCAGGAGAUCACGAAUUGUGUUUCUCUUUACUUUAGUGAUCAUGUUCGCACAAUAUGGAAGAAGAAUCCUCGAUAUAAUAAUGGAGGAACACGCGUGCAGAAUGAUGGUUGCACCUUAGAUGUAUUUCAGCAUGUUGGAAACCUACAUGGGAGGCCUAUUGCCCAAGAACUAUCACGUGAAGAGUUGAAUGCAGCAAGGCUGUACAUUUUGACUAACUGCUCUGCUGUUGAUAGAUUUCGUGAAACAUAUGAAGAUGAAAAAUAUGCAAGUCAUCCAAACUUGCCAUCGGAGGGCCUUGAUGAAAUGAUGGCAUCCGAAUUUGUGGAAUGGUUCGAGAUUGCUUGCAAAGAAGAUCCCAAUUCUGAUGAGGACUUGUGGAAUUUAGCUAAUGGAUGCAGCUCUAGAGCCUAUUCCUAUAGCUCCUAUGAUGUGAAUGGCUUUCGCUUUAGAUCAGAGAUAUCUGAGAAAAAACGUAGAAGGUUGAAAACGGUGAACACAGGGGUUUGUUUGUCAUCCUUCAUCUCAGAGACUGAACAACUUGAGUACUAUGGUGUCAUUGAGGAAAUUAUCAAAGUAUCCUUCACAGCUCGUAGAAAAAUUGAGAUGGUACUCUUCAAAUGCCGUUGGUUUGACCCCAUCAAGGGUGUGAAGCCAAAUGCAAAAUUAGGUUUGGUGGAGAUAAAGUGGUCUUCAAGGCUAAGUAAUUUUGAACCAUUUGCCAUGGCUCACCAAGCUACGCAAGCUUAUUACUUGCAUUACGCAUCCUCCAGGAGAGAUCUUCGUGAUUGGAGGGUUGUUUACACUAUUCAGCCAAGUACCAGCUUGAGUAACUUUGAUGACUGCGCAAAUGACCCAUCUACUACAGAUGAAUAUUUCCAGGAAGGUGGUCAGCUGGGUAGUUUUUCUGUAGAUGGUGGCAAAUUUGUUGAUGAAUCUACUGAGCCAAGAAAGGAGUCAGAUGAUGUGGAGCUUGAUCCCUCUAAAAUUUAUGUAAUAGAAAAUCAAGGCAAUAAUUAUGAGGGAGAAGAAUCUUCAGAAGAUGAAUUGGACGAGAGUACUGAUGAGGAAGAAGAAGAUUUACCUGAAGAGGAAGGACAAGAAGAGACAUAUGAGACCGAAGAUGAGGAUGAUGCAAUAGAGCAUGACUCUGAAUAUGACGAUGAUGAUUACUGAACAUUUAUAGCUUUUGCACUUGUCAUUUUCUGUCUUGGUACUAAUAAAUAUUAUAUAGUGGCACAACUAGUGAAUAAUAUAGUAUGUUUACUAUUGGUAGUAAUACAUAUUACAUAGUGAUUUAGUGACACAACUAUUGAAUAAUAUAUUAUGUUUGAUAGUAUUUCUAGUUUAGUUGUUACAUAAUGUUUUCUGUUGUUCUCUUCUUCUACUAUCAUGCCUUUGGUAAUCAUCUACUAAUUUUUUUAUGUGGCUAAUAAGAAUGCAUUUGUCACUAUGUAAAUAGGAUGACCCGCUUGCAUCAUAGGCGUGUCUCAAUGGCUAGGUCGAACAGGUCUUCUUCUAGUGCCUCCAUAGGAAACAAUGGAUCAACUCAGUCAACUGUACAGGCUAAAAAGCCUAGAACACCAAGAACUAGGACUUCAGCCGGUCUCAGACUAGAGGAAAUUGACCGACCGCUUAUAGUUCCCGUUGGCAUGGCAUGGGAAAGGCACCCAUACAACGCUCGUGAUCCAUCAAUGGUGCUAGGUGCCUUAGUGCGCCAGAUGUAUCCACCGCCAAUUGGUCCAAAAAAUGAUCAGAAACCGGUAUUGUGUUGGGAGGACUACAAGUGGUCCCCUGGUCCAGAAGUAAGAACAGCAGCUUCCAAAAUAGUGGAAGAUUUUUGGUGGCGUUUCAAGUGUGACCCAUCGGAGCAAGAGAAGGCAGAUGGUGUUUUGGAGGAGAACUUAACUAGGAAAGUGAAGCAGAUGCUACAUGAGGAAAAGGCGGCAGCCAUCAAAAGAUUAAAGAAGAAGGGACAAUUGCCUACAGAACUAACAGAAGAGGAUGAGGAUGGUAACCGCUGGCCAACUAAGGAAGCUUUAAUUUCUGCAAAGAGAGUUGACUUUGGUAUAGACGUUGGUUGGCGUCUACUAUGUGAGCACUGGAGUAGUACUGAAUUUAGAGGGUUAUCUUUAACCAACAAAAGGAACAGACUUGCUAAUGGGGACACGGUCUUCCAUUGCAGUGGUGCUAGAAAUGUUGUCGCCACACGUCAAUUUCUGAAACUCAAAACCGGGAAAGACCCUGGAAUUUCUGGUGCUUGGCUUCACACGCACAAAUUGCAUCGAGGGACUGAUGAAGAGCAGAUAUGCAGUCAAAGAACUGCUGAUCAUUGGGAGGAUUUUGAUAAGGCAAUGAAAAAUGCCCAUGGAGAAAAUUGGGAAGAGGAGCACCCGGAUUUAGAUGGACAAAUCAUCUACGAAGCAGCAGGCAGAAUGCCACAUGGCAGGCUGGGAAUUGCUAAUGAGUUGUUUAGCAAAGCAGAGAAGGCGAAGUUUAAGUCUAAAAGGGCGAUGGCCUCACAGCCGGUGCAAUCUGCUAAGGAGGAGCGUCUAGAAAGAGAAAACAAAUAUUUGAAGCAGGAGAUCAAGCGUCUUCGAGGCAUUGAGCUUGUUGUUCAGUCUUUGGCUGAGAAAGGGGGAGUCGACUUUGAUGGCAUAAUGCAAUCAGCAACAGAUGACUUGUCUCCAUCAUAUUCUGAAGGCGGAUUUCAAAGGGGACGAGGUGAUGUGCCUCAACACCAAACCGAAAAGGGAAUGGGAAGCAGGACUGGAGGCAGUACGAGUCAUGGAAAUGAUGAUGAGGACGACGACUAUGGCAAUGGGGGAUAUGGUAACUAUGGCGAGGGUGAUCUGUAUGGUGAUGAGCACUAUGAUCACUAUGGUGAUGGGGAAUAUGAUGACUAUGGAGAUGAGGAUGACUAUGGGUAUGGCUAUGGCGGUGGCGAUGGCGAUGAUGAUGAUUGGCUAUAAAAUCUAAUGAUCUUCAAGUCAUGUCAAAAUGUAGUUGUGUUAGAUAUUUGAAACACUUUAUUAUCUUAUGGACAAAUUUGUCUUAGUGGACAAUUUAUCUUAUGCAAAAUGUGGCCUAUCUCAGUUACUAUUUUGUUCUGCAUUCGACAUUUGAUAAUUAUGGUUAAUGCAAUUUGGAUGUAACUCAAUACCUUGUGCUUGUGUAUGAGAUGGAAUGAAACACCCCUUGGUGAA
RNAcentral lists this ribosomal RNA (3285 nucleotides) under Triticum aestivum (bread wheat). Its description in RNAcentral is "partial small subunit ribosomal RNA". The record is from RNAcentral. Lineage: Eukaryota; Viridiplantae; Streptophyta; Magnoliopsida; Poales; Poaceae.